UGCUUAGGACUCUCUGAAUACUAAUAUGCUUAUGAUGAUAAUGUUGUUUUGUACAUAUUGCUCUGCUAUUGAAUCACAAGUGACAUUGUGCUCUUCUAAAUACACUUUCACAUUUCCACAGGAUUUGUAUACAGUUCCUCUACACUACAGGAACUCCAUGUGAACAAAUAUGUAUAGAAGCUAGAAGAAGACACAACAACUGUUUUCCCUAAAAUUACACAUUUUGUAGCUUUACUUUAAUAAGGGGGUAUUUGCAAGAAUUAGCAAAUGCCAGAAAGAGUGAAGAUAUUGGGGAAUAGACUUGACAAGUGCAACAGUCCUAUUGCUAUCUUAUCGAUUUCUACGUCUUCCAAAACUGAAGUAUUCAGUAGGAAACUGAUGUAGUGAGUAUAUAUUUACCACGUCCAUCUCCUGUGCCCUGUGCCACACAGAAUCAGCUUUGUUAGCAGUAGCUCGCAGCCCGAGCCUGGGCUGGAUAGUAUCUUCCGUUUAUCUUUCAAAACCCAGGUGUCAUCAUGACGGUUGUUUUUUUAGGGGCAGAUUUCCUAAACGACAGAAAACAUCAAAGCUUCUGAUAUUUUGUUGAUAUGGCUAGAAAGAAAUAGAUGCGUCUUCAGGCAAGGGGAGCACUCCUCUCCCUGAUUGCGGACAUCAAGGAAGAAGUUUCUUCUUGGAAGGAGGUUCUCCAGUUAACACCUAGCUUAGAACUGUAUUUUCCUGCCUUUAGUCCGUCAACAAGCUCCAUCUGUUGAAUGAAAACCUAGCACGUGCUCACAUAAAAAAGGAACUAUUUGUUUGGCAGAAUAACCAAGUUUUGUUUCACUACAGUUCAAACCAUUUUUCUUAGUCAUCCUGUUGUUCGCCAUAUAAGUUCUUGUGAUUAUCAGAUAUGCAAACUUUUCAUGUUUGAUUUCCAUAUUCCAAUUUUAAUUCUCUUUUAGUCAUAAAAUCUACAUGUAAAACAAAAUGAGAACUGCAUUAAGGUAUGUCUCAUUAAUAAAAUGGUAAAUUAAUACCCUGCACCAUUAGCAUGUAAUUGAAUCAUUAGUCUUUGGUGCAAAGGAUGUCAUGACCUCUAGGGCCAUUUUGUUUGGACACAAAUGAAUGCCACGGAGCAUAUGAUGUUUCUAAUGUCACUUUCAUUAACUCAUUAACUGAUGUUUUCACUAGUUCAGUAUUUCAUAUUAAUGGAAAUAUGUGGUUGACUGGUUGGUAAGCAACACUGUGGACACGCCUGUAUUUUUCUUUCUUUCUGUGUUGGUUCUAAGAAUAUGCCCUGUUUCAGCCUAUCGGAAACUUGCUCGGAGCUAUCACCCUGACGUGAACAAAGGAUGCUUGUGACACGGUUUGAACUCUCAAAGUUGACUUCAUCCGGGAAGAGAAAUGACCAAUCAGUUCAGAAGUUGCAUGUCUAAAGUGUCGCGCUGAAGCUCCUUCUCUUUUUUCCACAAGUGAACUGAAACUAUUCCAAAUCCAAAACAUGUCAGGCUGACCUGAUUUGCUGUUGGAUGGUACUCUGCCAAAUACUCUGCAAAUCAUUUAUAUAUACGAUUCCUAAGGAUGAAAUCUGACAUCUACAAGACCCAAGAACAAAAGAUGUAAUAGUAAUAGCUAAAGACAGCGUUAGCUCUGUAUAGUUAAUCCAAAUUCACACUCA
Molecule: long non-coding RNA, 1657 nt
Organism: Hordeum vulgare subsp. vulgare (domesticated barley)
Lineage: Eukaryota; Viridiplantae; Streptophyta; Magnoliopsida; Poales; Poaceae
Exons: 2
Source: RefSeq, a predicted model, not a curated record